UACAGAGGUGGCAAGCGUUGUUCGGAAUUACUGGGCGUAAAGGGCGCGUAGGCGGCCUUCUAAGUCAGACGUGAAAUCCCCAGGCUUAACUUGGGAACUGCGUCUGAUACUGGGAGGCUUGAGUGCGGGAGAGGGAUGUGGAAUUCCAGGUGUAGCGGUGAAAUGCGUAGAUAUCUGGAGGAACACCGGUGGCGAAGGCGGCAUCCUGGACCGAUACUGACGCUGAGGAGCGAAAGCCAGGGGAGCAAAGCGGGG
This 255-nucleotide ribosomal RNA is filed under the name uncultured bacterium. RNAcentral's name for it is "partial 16S ribosomal RNA". It matches the Rfam family "Bacterial small subunit ribosomal RNA", at positions 524 to 778 of the family's 1533-position model. The record is from RNAcentral.